Molecule: long non-coding RNA, 1051 nt
Organism: Myxocyprinus asiaticus (Chinese sucker)
Lineage: Eukaryota; Metazoa; Chordata; Actinopteri; Cypriniformes; Catostomidae
Exons: 3
Source: RefSeq, a predicted model, not a curated record
AACAUCAACCGUAACGAGAUAAAACUGAAAUGCAUGGCUUUUUAAUACUUCUGUGUACAAAUUUUAAGGCUGCUUAUUGGAUCAAUUAAGGUAAACGUCAUAUUAUGCGACUACGCAUUACUUUACGGAGAGUUUACGACCUACUAGUUAAGACUUGCCUUAAGAACAGGUAGGGUUGCAUCAGCUAUGCGUAAGUUCUCACGUAAGUUAGGACGUAAAGUUCACACUAAGGACUUAGUAACUACUAGUUUGUUUGUAACUAAGUCAGUGCUUAAUUUGGUUGCACCACCUGUUCUUAAGGCAAGGAAGUAGGUGCAAUGACACUUGAAUAAGUGAACUGAUCAUGUGCGAUGCUGACCAAUAAACAAACGAGUUUACUUUAUUGUAGUUGUAGAUUAUUAUUUUUCUUUGUCUCAAGUUCAUUGCGCUGUUGACUUAAAACUGUGCAGUUGUCAGGGAGAACCUUUAAGAAUGUGAUGUUUUUUUUUUUCUUCUUGAUUUGACAGAGGUGUGCCACAGCAGCAGAUCUUCAAGCAACACACCAUACCUGGGAGCCCGCGACUCAUUGUGCUUGGAGACACCUUGAUAAGCGGGCGCUGGAUGCUGAGCAUUGAAGGUGAGGUUGUGUGUGAGGGCACUCAGCCCACCUCCCUGUCUGGCCUUGCCACACUUUUUGCAGCAUACUACAUAUUCAACCUUGAGUACCAGGAGGAGGCGGCGUGUACAUUGGAGUUCAUUUAAAGGCAAAGGUUGAAUUCUAACAACAUCAGAACCUGCCUUUUAUAUAUGCACUUUGUAGGCAUUAACCCUGGGAGAGGGACAAAGUCAAAAGGAAAAGUGACAUCUAAAACCACGGGGCUUGUACAGAAGAAACGGGUUGCAGUGAACCCGCACAUCUCCACUCUACUCUGCAAACUGAUGGACUACCAGGGGAAUUUCUGAAAUGGUAAGAAGAAUCAGACACAUGCACACCAAGAUCUCUUCCCCCCCCCCCCUCUGUGUGUGCGCAUAUGAUUUGAGUGAGUGUGAAGCGAGGUUGAAGAGUGUUUGA